RNAcentral lists this ribosomal RNA (992 nucleotides) under Samsoniella hepiali. Its description in RNAcentral is "SSU rRNA". It matches the Rfam family "Eukaryotic small subunit ribosomal RNA", at positions 41 to 1044 of the family's 1831-position model. The record is from RNAcentral. Lineage: Eukaryota; Fungi; Ascomycota; Sordariomycetes; Hypocreales; Cordycipitaceae.
AGAUUAAGCCAUGCAUGUCUAAGUAUAAGCAAUUAUACAGCGAAACUGCGAAUGGCUCAUUAUAUAAGUUAUCGUUUAUUUGAUAGUACCUUACUACUUGGAUAACCGUGGUAAUUCUAGAGCUAAUACAUGCUAAAAAUCCCGACUUCGGAAGGGAUGUAUUUAUUAGAUUAAAAACCAAUGCCCUCUGGGCUCCUUGGUGAUUCAUAAUAACUUUUCGAAUCGCAUGGCCUUGCGCCGGCGAUGGUUCAUUCAAAUUUCUUCCCUAUCAACUUUCGAUGUUUGGGUAUUGGCCAAACAUGGUCGCAACGGGUAACGGAGGGUUAGGGCUCGACCCCGGAGAAGGAGCCUGAGAAACGGCUACUACAUCCAAGGAAGGCAGCAGGCGCGCAAAUUACCCAAUCCCGAUUCGGGGAGGUAGUGACAAUAAAUACUGAUACAGGGCUCUUUUGGGUCUUGUAAUUGGAAUGAGUACAAUUUAAAUCCCUUAACGAGGAACAAUUGGAGGGCAAGUCUGGUGCCAGCAGCCGCGGUAAUUCCAGCUCCAAUAGCGUAUAUUAAAGUUGUUGUGGUUAAAAAGCUCGUAGUUGAACCUUGGGCCUGGCUGGCCGGUCCGCCUCACCGCGUGUACUGGUCCGGCCGGGCCUUUCCCUCUGUGGAACCUCAUGCCCUUCACUGGGUGUGGCGGGGAAACAGGACUUUUACUUUGAAAAAAUUAGAGUGCUCCAGGCAGGCCUAUGCUCGAAUACAUUAGCAUGGAAUAAUGAAAUAGGACGUGUGGUUCUAUUUUGUUGGUUUCUAGGACCGCCGUAAUGAUUAAUAGGGACAGUCGGGGGCAUCAGUAUUCAAUUGUCAGAGGUGAAAUUCUUGGAUUUAUUGAAGACUAACUACUGCGAAAGCAUUUGCCAAGGAUGUUUUCAUUAAUCAGGAACGAAAGUUAGGGGAUCGAAGACGAUCAGAUACCGUCGUAGUCUUAACCAUAAACUAUGCCG